RNAcentral lists this ribosomal RNA (932 nucleotides) under Triticum aestivum (bread wheat). Its description in RNAcentral is "partial small subunit ribosomal RNA". Lineage: Eukaryota; Viridiplantae; Streptophyta; Magnoliopsida; Poales; Poaceae. The record is from RNAcentral.
UGCUCGAUCUAGUUUGUGUUUAGCGGCUCGCUAGUAGAGAGGCACACACGAUCGAAGAUUAAGAGAUUAGCUAGUACCCACCUCCGGUGCUGUACGUGCCGCCGGUGUUGCCGCCGCACUUCCCGAAGCACAGGCCGGAGCAAUUGCCGCCCUUUCCGGUGCCGAUGCCUAGCAGUAUGCCGGUCCCCGUGCCGAUGCCGCCACCGGUGCACGUCCCGAUGCCGCCGGUACCGGUCUCGAUGCUCGUGCCCAUGCCGCCCGUACGCGUCGUGCCCGUGCCGCCGAUACUCGUGCCCAUGCCGCCGCCUGUACGCGUCGUGCCGGUACCGGUGCUCGUGCCCAUGCCGCCUGUGCACGUCGUCGUGCCUAUGCCGCCACCGGUGCGCGUCGAGCCCAUGGGAGGACGGCGGCCACGGAUGGGAGGCGUGCCGCCAAUGGUCCGCGUGCCGAUGCGCGGCCGCCGGAUGGGGAGAGUGCCCCGCGUGGUGCCAGUGUACCCUAGCAUGGUGUGGCCCGUACCGCCGCCCGUGGUGGUGCCGCCGUUCGUGCCUCCGUUCAUGGUACCGCCGUUCGUGCCGUCAUCCACCACUUCAUGACUUCACCGAUCGACGUCGGUAACGACCGCGCGAGAUGCUGCAGGUGCAUGGACACGCGGGGGUACCGGUCAAUGCAUGCGACCGCAUAGAGGUAGUAGACGGAAUCAACUAAGUGGUACGAGGCAACAUCGCUGGUUAUUGCAGAAUGUAAUGACUCUGCUUCCCUCAUGAUGGAUUUAUUUCUCGAUGCGCACGUACCCGUUCCACACACCAUACAUUACAGACACAUGGAAUUUUUUACAUUACUAGAUACACCACUGGAUUCAGACAGCACGCACUGAAUUAUCCUCAUGAUGUAUUUGUAUUAAAAAUAAAAAUCAGCUGACCUUUACUAAC